CGUGUCGUGAGAUGUGGUUAGUCCGCAACGAGCGCAACCCUUAUUGCUAGUUACCAUCAUUAAGUUGGGGACGUCUAGCGAGACUGCCAGUGAUAAACUGGAGGAAGGUGGGGAUGACGUCAAAUCAUCAUGCCCCUUAUGACCUGGGCUACAAACGUGAUACAAUGGCUGAAACAAAGGGCAGCGAAGCAGUGAUGUGGAGCGAAACCCAAAAAGCAGUCUCAGUUCGGAUUGAAGUCUGCAACUCGACUUCAUGAAGUCGGAAUCGCUAGUAAUCGCGGAUCAGAACGCCGCGGUGAAUACGUUCUCGGGGUUU
Molecule: ribosomal RNA, 316 nt
Filed under: uncultured Acholeplasma sp.
Lineage: Bacteria; Bacillati; Mycoplasmatota; Mollicutes; Acholeplasmatales; Acholeplasmataceae
Description: bacterial SSU rRNA
Rfam family: Bacterial small subunit ribosomal RNA
Source: RNAcentral